UCACGCCAGCCGUGAGGAAGAAUUAAAAGGGAAUCCUGUGAAAAUCAGGGACUAUCCCCGUAGCUGUAAGUUUUACUCCUUAUAAUGGGAGAAUGUUGUAACAAUCUAUUUGCCACUGGUUUAAAAAGCCGGGAAGGUGUUGCAACUGAAACAAGUCAGAAGACCUGCCGUAUCAAUC
This 178-nucleotide non-coding RNA is filed under the name uncultured Parabacteroides sp. Lineage: Bacteria; Pseudomonadati; Bacteroidota; Bacteroidia; Bacteroidales; Tannerellaceae. The record is from RNAcentral.